Molecule: RNA transcript, 801 nt
Organism: Gossypium raimondii (Peruvian cotton)
Lineage: Eukaryota; Viridiplantae; Streptophyta; Magnoliopsida; Malvales; Malvaceae
Exons: 2
Source: RefSeq, a predicted model, not a curated record
CAACCAUGAUGAAGAAAAUCAGGUCAGGAUAAACAACAGUAUGGGUAUACUACAAACCCCCAAAAAAUUGCCCAUUCAACACCUUUAUAUAUUCUAAUAUUUUCAAUCCCAUCCUCCAAAAGAAAAAAAAACAAUUAGCCAUUUUUAUGGCCUCCAAAAUCUUUCAAUGGCACUUCACCAUCCUCAACCACACCAACAUGAUCCACUCACACACUAGAGGCCUUUUCCUCUUGCUGAUCUUUUUCUCUUUACUUUUUCUCAUCACCACUCUCUUCCUUUGUGCUCAUUGGGUGUAUAGCCACUGUCUCCUCUCAACAGCUGCUGCGAUGGCUAAUGCAACACCACCAGGGGUGUUUGAAGAAGAAGAGAUGGUGAAGGUCUUGCCACAAUGUAACCAUGUCUAUCAUUCUCAGUGUGUUGAUAAGUGGCUCGGUUCUCAAUCAAGCUGCCCGCUAUGUAGAGCUUGUUUGAAUCCAUUCACUUCUCCAUUACAAUGAAAGUCAAAUUACUCGGACACGGUUGUGAGUAUCCCAUAUAAUAUUGUUUGAAUUUUUUUCUAUUUUUUUAUAUAUUUAGAGGAUCUUUAAAGAUCGUAUUCGUACUUGAUCCAGACAUGAUUAAUACUUAACAAGAAUGAAUGUUCAGAAUAGCCAACUAGAGAGAUAAGGAAAAUCAAGUGAUCAUUGAUGGCAUAGUCAUCACUCAAAUUUAUUUUUUUUUCAUUUGUGUGUGAGGCCCUUUGAGCAACUUACAUCAUUAUCUUCUUUUCUUUUGGCUUAGAUCAAAGAUUGAUAUUAUUUA